This 4989-nucleotide long non-coding RNA is filed under the name Ananas comosus (pineapple). Its description in RNAcentral is "long non-coding RNA (ACOM_LNC021051)". Lineage: Eukaryota; Viridiplantae; Streptophyta; Magnoliopsida; Poales; Bromeliaceae. The record is from RNAcentral.
GGUUUGGGAUGUGUUCUGAUGCAGUGCGGGAACGUGAUUGCCUACACAUUCCGCCAGUUGAAAAGCUAUGAAAAGAAUUAUCCCAUUCACGACCUGGAGUUGGCGCCGGUGGUCUUCGCACUUAAGUUGUGGAGACAUUAUCUUUAUGGAGCGCGUUGCGAGCUAUACACAGACCACAAGAGCUUGAAAUAUCUGUUCACUCAGAAAGAAUUGAACAUGUGACAGCGCAGGUGGUUGGAACUAUUAAAGAAUUAUAAUGUUACAAUCCUUUACCAUCUGGGAAAAGCUAAUGUAGUAGCGGAUGCACUUAGCAGAAAAUCAGUGGAGAACCUUGUGAUGAUAAUCACGCAUCAGGAGUCGCUUUGGAAAGAAAUGCGGCGACUGGAUCUUGAGGUUGUGGCUCCAGAGAUACCGGCUAUACUUUCGGCUCUCGUUUUCCAACCGAUCUUGUUGGAGCGGAUUAAGGACUUACAAUCCACGGAUACAAGUCCCCAAAAGGUACGACGUGACGUCGAGAGUGGGCACAUUGGUGAUUUUAGCAUUGGCACCGAUGGCGCGCUUCGGUAUCGGGACCGUUAGUGUGUGCCGGAAAAUGAAGAAAUCCGAAGUUGAUCUUACAAGAGGCGCACCAAUCUCCCUAUAGUGUCUAUCCGGGCGGCACCAAAAUGUACAAGGAUUUGAAAAUGCACUAUUGGUGGUCGGGGAUGAAGAGAGAUAGUGGAUACUAUGUGGCGCAAUGCUUUGUUUGUCAACAAGUAAAGGUGGAGCAUCGAUUUCCGGCGGGAAAGCUCCAAAGUUUACCGAUUCCCGUUUGGAAAUGGGAGGAUAUAGUGAUGGACUUCGUGGUCGACUUGCCCCAUUCAUCGGGUGGCCACGAUGCUAUUUGGGUAGUGGUGGAUCGCUUGACCAAGUCGGCGCACUUUUUACCGAUCCACACUACUUGGUCUGGAGACAGGUUGGCGCAAGUUUACCUCGACGAGGUAGUGAGGCUGCACGGGGUUCCAAAGUCAAUUGUGUCGGAUCGUGACCCCCAGUUCACGUCUCACUUUUGGAAAAGCUUGCAAGAAGCGCUUGGCACACGGCUCGAUUUUAGCACCGCAUUUCAUCCUCAAAGUGAUGGGCAAUCGAAAAGAACAAUCCAAGUCUUGGAGGAUAUGUUGUGAGUGUGUGUCAUUGAUUAUCGGGGCGGGUGGCAUGAACACUUAACAAUGGCCGAGUUCGCCUACAACAAUAGUUAUCAAGCUAGUAUAGAGAUGGCACCGUUUGAAGCUCUCUAUAGGAGGAAGUGCCGGUCUCCUAUACAUUGGAGUGGAGGUGGGCGAAUGGGUGAUUAUGGGCCCCGAUGUAUUACGAGAGGCGGAGGAGAAAGUUUGCCUUGCUUGCCAAAGGCUAUUGAUGGCACAAACCAGGCAAAAGAGUUAUGCGAAUAAGUGCCGUCGAGAUCUUGAGUUCGCGGUUGUAGACCGCGUCUUUUUGAAGGUUUCACCCAUGAGGGGUGUAAAGCGAUUUGGAGUUCGGGGAAAGCUAAGUCCCUGAUACAUCGGACCGUAUGAGAUUUUGGAACGGAUUGGUGCGGUAGCUUACUGGUUACCAUUGCCGCCCAAGUUUGCGGGAGUUCAUAACGUUUUUCAUGUUUUCAAUCUCCGCAAGUAUUUUCACGACCCCGAGCAUAUUCUCAUGUUUGAACCAUCCGAGCUACAAGAAGAUAUGACUUAUGAAGAGUUCUCGGUGUCCAUCCUUGCUCAAGAAGUGAGAAAACUACGGAAUCGUGAAAUUUCGUAUGUUAAGUCCAAUGGAGCAACCAUGAUGAUCGGGAAGCUACUUGGGAGCUUGAGGAGGCGAUGAGAAAGUAUCAUCCACAUCUUUUUGAAGAUUUGGAUUGAGAUAUGCAUUUUAGUUUAAAGUGCAUUGUGUUUCGUGGACGAAACUCCAUUUAAGGAGGGGGGGAUGUAAGAUAUUGGAUCCUCGUCGUAUUAGUCCACUUUUGGUCAAAUGGACCAAAGCGCGGUGGGAGAAAUAGUUGGACAAAGUUCAUUUAACAUUCCAACAAUGUUGGAAGGGUUAAAGUUGAAUUCCAAAAUGGUUAGAAAGGUUUUAGCAUUGCUCGGUGCGAAGAGGAGUCGAAAUGAUGCAAAAUUGAAGUCUGGGCAUUUUGUCACCGGUAAUGCAUUGAAGUUGUACCGGUACCAGAUAGCAGACCGAGAACAGUAGCUCUCGGGUUUGAGAAAUUCUGGCUGUUAAAUCGGUGACAAAAUGGCUUGUACCGGUACCAAGUCUGUUACAGGAGAUGGUAGCUCUUGGGUUUGGCUGUUGUGUAAUUGUGUAACCGGUGACAAAACAAGCAGUACCGGUAGUGCACUUCGCAGCAGACUUUGGUCUGUUGCAAAUAUGAAGUUGGGGAGGGCCUAACUGCUAUUGUAGCAGCUUAUAAAAGACCCCACACCCCUCCCUUCUCUCUUUUACAGCUGAGAACACUUCUCCUCUCUCUUUUCUCCCUCUCUCUCUCUAGAAACUCUCUCCCAAAGCUAAAGGAGGAGAUUAAGAGGUGGACUUUGGAGGAGAUUUGGAGUUUUUGAAGAGUUAGGGCUCUCCUAUAAGGUGGACCUUGGUGAGCUAGUGGGCUAAGGUAAGGUUUUAUGGAAGAUAGAUGCUGGGGCUUGGUUUUAUGCCCCAAAAUUUUUGGUUUUGAUAUUCUUGCAAGGCUAGAAACCUAGUAGAGGCCAUAAAAUUCAUGAAAACCCAUGGUUUCUCAUGUGCUUUCAUGGUGGAUUUCUAGGGUUUGCUUUAGAUGUCCUAGGAAUUGUUUGAAUGACCUAGAAAUGGUUUAUGUUGAACCUCUAGAUGAUUCUAAGCUUGUUUUUGCUUAGCAUAGAGAUCAAUAUAGUGUAUGGUGGAAUAUGACAUUGUUAGAGCACCAAAAUUAGAGCUUUUGCCCUAGGUUGGUUUAAAGGCAAAUUGACCUUAUAGAAACCAAAUUAAGAGUAUUUCUAACUCGUUUAUGAACUUGGUUCGGAGAUGCGACGAGUCUACGCGAAGUUAAGGGGGAAAAAGGCUAAUUUGGCUUCAUUUUGUCGCAGGCAAGAGAAUAGACACUCAAAAAUCACCAAACUUGAACCGCGACACUUUUGCUACCAUACGAGGUAGGGGGUGCUAUCCGGAACAUCCGGAUUUCCUUUUAUGUCUAAGUUACUUCAUUGGCCAUGCAUAUGUUCAUGUUAGCAUCCAUGCAUCGUAGAGUAGAUUGUUGUUUAUUCAUUUCCUUGCUUGUUCUCGUGAGAUUUGCAUGUAUAUAUAUCUAUAAGAUGGAACCUAGUGCUAUGUGGAUAUAGGAUUGGAUGUGAACAAGGGACUCCUUAAUGGCAUGAUAAACCUAGCUUGGAACAUUGUGGCACCGAAAGUGACAUCGACAUGAAAGUGAAAACAAGUGAAAAUAUGACAUUGUGGCAUUAGUUAGAGACAACUAAAACAAUGUGACAUUAACUAGAGACAAAUAUGGCAUUGUGGCAUUAGCUAGAGACAUUAUGGUCUAAUGACAUUUGGCUAGAGACAAUGUAGUUACUCAAGUAUGAGUAUUGGGGUUGGUGUUCCCGGAUUUGAUUACCACUAGUUGGUAGAGUAUCCUUGCAUUGGAGGAUUGGAUCAUACUUACAUUUGUCUAUUUUGCUUGGUAGUGGUCGCUCCACCUAAGCAUGGUCUUCGAAGUACUUCACGGUAGGGACAGACGUAGUUGUCCCGCAGACGGUCCCGGGUGAGCGUGGCGGUUGCUCCUCACGAUUUGUAGGGAUUGGUUGUGAGUCGGGCUUAACCUUCAGUAAGCCGGAUUGAUUGGGUUAUGGAACAAAGGUAAAUGGCAUGUAUCAUGAGCAUAGUAGUUGCUAGAAUUUAUUUACCUUACUUGCUUAUUGUUCAUAUUGCAAAGGCAUAGUAGCAUGAUAGAAAUGUUAAUAUUUGGCUAACCCUUUACUACUUUUGCCUACUUAGACCUAGUGGGAAAAUCGGCGGCGUCGGUAGUCGAACCCACUGAGAACUAUUUAUUAGUUCUCAUCCCACUUUGUUGCAGAACCGAGUAUAGGCGGAGAAGUCGAGGACCGCGGUAAGGGCAUAGAGCCCUAGUUAGCUAGCUACCUCCUAUUGCAUUAGUGUCAGCACCAUUUUGAGAGUUUCAUCUUGAGAGACAUAUAUUUGGUGAGGUUGCUUAUGGACAUAGAUGUAUUAUGAGAUGAAUGAUGUAAAACCUAUGUAUCUUUUUUAUGCAAGUUGUAAAUCAAAGUAUUUGUAUUGGAGGAAACAAGUAAAUGUUAAAUGUUAAUUGCAAUAGUUGGAUUCUCUCUUGCUUGCUUGUAUGUUUACUAGCUUUGUAUCAUGUAUAUCGAUGAUGUUAUUCCUGGGCAACUAGAUGUACAUGAUCGUUGUUGAGCCUUGGGAGGACAGGGGAGACUCUGUCCAUUCGGCGCCUAUUUGGCGUGCCCAAACCGACCAAAUAGGCGGCGUACCCAAACCGACCAAAUAGGCGGGUUUGGGGCAUGACAAAGCUGAUAUUGGAGUUGAGGGUGAAGUUGAGGGUGAAGAUGAUGUUACAAUUGAGAAUGUAGCUGAGGAAGAAGAUGAUGUUAGAAUUGAGAAUGUAGCUGAGGAAGAAGAUGAUGUUAGAAUUGAGAAUGUAGCUGUAGAAGAAGAAAAUGUUGGAGAUGAAGAUGCUGAUUAUGAUGGUGUAGAAGAUGUUGUUGGAGAUGUAGGUGUAGCUGAGGAAGAAUAUGGUGUUGACGAUGAAGGUGGAGCUCAUCUAGAGGCUGAUUAUGAUGCUGUAGAUGAUGGUGGAGCUUAUAUAUGGCCUGAUUUUGUUAGAGAUGAGAGGCAAGAUGAGGGUAAAGCUUACACUAGGGCUAAUAAUGUUAGAAAUGAUGAGGAGAAUGAGGGAGUAGAUGAAUCAGAUAAAUCCUUUACUGAAAAUUUUGAAAGGAAUUUAGGUUUUAGUUCCACUGAAACUGA